AGCGAACGCUGGCGGCAGGCUUAACACAUGCAAGUCGAGCGGGCACUUUCGGGUGUCAGCGGCGGGCGGGUGAGUAACGCGUGGGAACGUGCCCUCUGGUUCGGAAUAACUCAGGGAAACUUGAGCUAAUACCGGAUACGCCCUUUUGGGGAAAGGCUUGCUGCCGGAGGAUCGGCCCGCGUCUGAUUAGCUAGUUGGUGAGGUAACGGCUCACCAAGGCGACGAACAGUAGCUGGUCUGAGAGGAUGAUCAGCCACACUGGGACUGAGACACGGCCCAGACUCCUACGGGAGGCAGCAGUGGGGAAUAUUGGACAAUGGGCGCAAGCCUGAUCCAGCCAUGCCGCGUGAGUGAUCAAGGCCUUAGGGUUGUAAAGCUCUUUUAUCCGGGACGAUAAUGACGGUACCGGAGGAAUAAGCCCCGGCUAACUUCGCG
RNAcentral lists this ribosomal RNA (435 nucleotides) under uncultured bacterium. RNAcentral describes it as "partial 16S ribosomal RNA". It matches the Rfam family "Bacterial small subunit ribosomal RNA", at positions 29 to 507 of the family's 1533-position model. The record is from RNAcentral.